GGCUGGGGGUGAAAGGCCAAUCAAACCGGGAGAUAGCUGGUUCUCCCCGAAAGCUAUUUAGGUAGCGCCUCGUGAAUUCAUCUCCGGGGGUAGAGCACUGUUUCGGCUAGGGGGCCAUCCCGGCUUACCAACCCGAUGCAAACUGCGAAUACCGGAGAAUGUUAUCACGGGAGACACACGGCGGGUGCUAACGUCCGUCGUGAAGAGGGAAACAACCCAGACCGCCAGCUAAGGUCCCAAAGUCAUGGUUAAGUGGGAAACGAUGUGGGAAGGCCCAGACAGCCAGGAUGUUGGCUUAGAAGCAGCCAUCAUUUAAAGAAAGCGUAAUAGCUCACUGGUCGAGUCGGCCUGCGCGGAAGAUGUAACGGGGCUAAACCAUGCACCGAAGCUGCGGCAGCGAACGUAUCACCCAAGACAACUUUACGGAGUUGACGAUUGACGGAGCGAAGCGACGUCAAAGCGUUCAUUAAAGUCGAGUUGGCUUAGGGAUACGUUCGUUGGGUAGGGGAGCGUUCUGUAAGCCUGUGAAGGUGUGUCGUGAGGC
This 544-nucleotide ribosomal RNA is filed under the name Salmonella enterica. Its description in RNAcentral is "partial 23S ribosomal RNA". It matches the Rfam family "Bacterial large subunit ribosomal RNA", at positions 813 to 1269 of the family's 2925-position model. The record is from RNAcentral. Lineage: Bacteria; Pseudomonadati; Pseudomonadota; Gammaproteobacteria; Enterobacterales; Enterobacteriaceae.